Molecule: ribosomal RNA, 320 nt
Filed under: Colletotrichum sp.
Lineage: Eukaryota; Fungi; Ascomycota; Sordariomycetes; Glomerellales; Glomerellaceae
Description: partial large subunit ribosomal RNA
Rfam family: Eukaryotic large subunit ribosomal RNA
Source: RNAcentral
AGACCGAUAGCGAACAAGUAGAGUGAUCGAAAGAUGAAAAGCACUUUGAAAAGAGGGUUAAACAGCACGUGAAAUUGUUAAAAGGGAAGCGCUUGUGACCAGACUUGCGUCCGGUGAAUCACCCAGCUCUCGCGGCUGGGGCACUUCGCCGGCACAGGCCAGCAUCAGCUUGCCGUCGGGGACAAAAGCUUCAGGAACGUAGCUCUCUUCGGGGAGUGUUAUAGCCUGUUGCAUAAUACCCUUCGGCGGGCUGAGGUACGCGCUCCGCAAGGAUGCUGGCGUAAUGGUCAUCAGCGACCCGUCUUGAAACACGGACCAAG